RNAcentral lists this unclassified non-coding RNA (613 nucleotides) under Hevea brasiliensis (rubber tree). The record is from RNAcentral. Lineage: Eukaryota; Viridiplantae; Streptophyta; Magnoliopsida; Malpighiales; Euphorbiaceae.
AGGAUUUGAGCCUAAAGUUGCAAGAUAAAUUUUAAUUUUAAUUUUAAUUUUAAUGCUAUGAUUUUUAUUUCAGAAGAUUAUGCAAUAUUGGGUUUAAUGCUUUAUGUUUCUUGGUUUAUUGAUGAUUCUAGUGAUAUUCGAACAGAAGCUAGGAUUUCUUGAUCAACUGAAUGUAUAAUUGAUUUUUAGAGAGAAUAUUGCAUAUCACAUUAGGACUAGGCAAUUAGAAUAGGGACCCUAAAAACAGUGUGUGGUCUAUUUAAUUCACAACCGAAUAAGGCGAAUUAACAGUAAGGGAUUACAGUACUCUAUGCAUCUAAAUUAUUGACUACCAUGAUAGAGACCUUUGAUUAGAUGAAUCUUCAACCUGAAGAAUGACAAUUGGCUAUAAUAAAUCCUACCAUUUCAUGACAUAGAACUUGCAUUGGAUUGAAAUUCCAUACAUAUGUUAAAGUUAAAUCACUACCCUAACACUUUUUGAUUAUAAGAAGUUUCUUUAAUUAGUUUUCUUCAAUUAGUUUAAUUAUUUAUUUUUAUUUUAUUAUCAGUUUUAUUUUAUUUAACUUCAACUAUUGAUUUCUCAAAUAAAAUUAGGGUAGUAUUAGCUUAAUUA